CCCUACGGGGCGCAGCAGGCGCGAAAACUUCGCACUGUGCGAAAGCACGACGAGGGAAUCCCAAGUGCUGGCUCGUUAGAGUCAGCUGUUUCUCUGUCUAAAAAACAGAGAGAGUAAGGGCUGGGUAAGACGGGUGCCAGCCGCCGCGGUAAUACCUGCAGCCCAAGUGGUGACUGUUAUUAUUGGGCCUAAAACGUCCGUAGCCGGUUUAGUAAAUGCCUGGUAAAUCGUACGGCUUAACCGUACGAAGUCCGGGUAGACUGCUGAACUUGAGAUCGGGAGAGGCUAGAGGUACUCCUGGGGUAGAGGUGAAAUCCUGUAAUCC
This 325-nucleotide ribosomal RNA is filed under the name uncultured archaeon. RNAcentral describes it as "bacterial SSU rRNA". It matches the Rfam family "Archaeal small subunit ribosomal RNA", at positions 321 to 648 of the family's 1478-position model. The record is from RNAcentral.